GCCCAUUCCCUCCUUUCUCAUUCCCCUUCUCUCUGUCUCCCUCUCUCGACUUACAACCAUAAGCUGACAGAGACGACUAAUGGAUUCAGACGAGGGGAAGCUCUUUAUUGGGGGAAUAGCAUGGGACACCACGGAGGAAACUCUUCGAGACCACUUCUCCCAGUACGGAGACGUUUCCCAGGUUGUAAUAAUGCGGGACAAGACUACUGGUCGACCUCGUGGCUUUGGUUUCGUGGUUUUCUCCGAUCCUUCAAUUCUCGAUCGCGUCCUCCAGGACAAGCACACCAUCGAUGGCCGUACUGUUGAGGCUAAGAGAGCUUUAUCAAGAGAAGAACAACAGACCUCCUCUAGAUCUGGUAAUGUUAAUGCUGGUAGGGGCUCUAGUGGUGGUGGUGGUGGAAAUUUUAAGACCAAAAAAAUAUUUGUCGGUGGUUUGCCAUCCACCCUGACAGAAGAUGGCUUCCGUGAAUAUUUUGAAAAUUAUGGUCAUGUAACUGAUGUGGUAAUAAUGUUUGACCAGCAUACUCAGAGGCCUCGUGGCUUUGGAUUUAUCACCUUUGACACUGAAGAUUCAGUUGAUAGAGUACUUCACAAGGUCUUCCAUGAGCUGAAUGGUAAACUUGUAGAGGUAAAACGGGCACUCCCAAAAGAUGCAAAUCCAGGUAGUGGGGCCCAUGGUGGGGGAUAUCAAGGUUAUGGUGCCUCUGGUGCCAAUACAAAUGCUGUUGAUGGUCGAAUGGUUGGAAACAGAUAUAUGCAGACCCAAACUUCUGCAGGUGGGUAUACACCUUAUUCUGGUUAUGGCACACCAAGUUAUGGUUAUGGUGCAACAAACAGUGGAGUUGGUUAUGGUGGUUAUGGUAGUUAUGGU
Molecule: unclassified non-coding RNA, 871 nt
Filed under: Hevea brasiliensis (rubber tree)
Lineage: Eukaryota; Viridiplantae; Streptophyta; Magnoliopsida; Malpighiales; Euphorbiaceae
Source: RNAcentral